RNAcentral lists this ribosomal RNA (116 nucleotides) under Pteropus alecto (black flying fox). The record is from RNAcentral. Lineage: Eukaryota; Metazoa; Chordata; Mammalia; Chiroptera; Pteropodidae.
GUCUACGGUCACGCCACCCUGAACAAGCUUGAUGUCUGAUCUCGGAAGCUAAGCAGGGUUGGGCCUGGUUAGUACUUAGAAGGGAGACCACCUAGGAAGACCAGGUGCUGUAGGCA